AUUGAACGCUGGCGGCAGGCCUAACACAUGCAAGUCGAGCGGAUGAAGGGAGCUUGCUCCUGGAUUCAGCGGCGGACGGGUGAGUAAUGCCUAGGAAUCUGCCUGGUAGUGGGGGAUAACGUCCGGAAACGGGCGCUGAUACCGCAUACGUCCUGAGGGAGAAAGUGGGGGAUCUUCGGACCUCACGCUAUCAGAUGAGCCUAGGUCGGAUUAGCUAGUUGGUGGGGUAAAGGCCUACCAAGGCGACGAUCCGUAACUGGUCUGAGAGGAUGAGCAGUCACACUGGAACUGAGACACGGUCCAGACUCCUACGGGAGGCAGCAGUGGGGAAUAUUGGACAAUGGGCGCAAGCCUGAUCCAGCCAUGCCGCGUGUGUGAAGAAGGUCUUCGGAUUGUAAAGCACUUUAAGUUGGGAGGAAGGGAAGUAAGUUAAUACCUUGCUGUAUUGACGUUACCAACAGAAUAAGCACCGGCUAACUUCGUG
This 484-nucleotide ribosomal RNA is filed under the name uncultured bacterium. Its description in RNAcentral is "partial 16S ribosomal RNA". It matches the Rfam family "Bacterial small subunit ribosomal RNA", at positions 30 to 507 of the family's 1533-position model. The record is from RNAcentral.